CAGCUCUUCAAGUGGUCGGGAUAAUUAUUGGGCUUAAAGUGUCCGUAGCCGGUUUAGUAAGUUCCUGGUAAAAUCGGGUAGCUUAACUAUCUAUAUGCUAGGAAUACUGCUAUACUAGAGGGCGGGAGAGGUCUGAGGUACUACAGGGGUAGGGGUGAAAUCUUAUAAUCCUUGUAGGACCACCAGUGGCGAAGGCGUCAGACUGGAACGCGCCUGACGGUGAGGGACGAAAGCCAGGGGAGCGAACCGGAUUAGAUACCCGAGUAGUCC
RNAcentral lists this ribosomal RNA (270 nucleotides) under uncultured archaeon. RNAcentral describes it as "partial 16S ribosomal RNA". It matches the Rfam family "Archaeal small subunit ribosomal RNA", at positions 477 to 747 of the family's 1478-position model. The record is from RNAcentral.